GACGAACGCUGGCGGCGUGCUUAACACAUGCAAGUCGAACGGAAAGACCCUGCUUUUGUGGGGUGCUCGAGUGGCGAACGGGUGAGUAACACGUGAGUAACCUGCCCUUGACUUUGGGAUAACUUCAGGAAACUGGGGCUAAUACCGGAUAGGAGCUCCUGCUGCAUGGUGGGGGUUGGAAAGUUUCGGCGGUGGGGGAUGGACUAGCGGGUUAUCAGCUUGUUGGUGGGGUAGUGGCUUACCAAGGCUUUGACGGGUAGCCGGCCUGAGAGGGUGACCGGCCACAUUGGGACUGAGAUACGGCCCAGACUCCUACGGGAGGCAGCAGUGGGGAAUAUUGCACAAUGGGCGGAAGUCUGAUGCAGCAACGCCGCGUGCGUGAUGACGGCCUUCGGGUUGUAAACCGCUUUCGCCUGUGACGAAGCGUGAGUGACGGUAAUGGGUAAAGAAGCACCGGCUAACUACGUG
RNAcentral lists this ribosomal RNA (468 nucleotides) under uncultured bacterium. RNAcentral describes it as "partial 16S ribosomal RNA". It matches the Rfam family "Bacterial small subunit ribosomal RNA", at positions 28 to 507 of the family's 1533-position model. The record is from RNAcentral.